AUACGGAGGAUGCAAGCGUUAUCCGGAUUUAUUGGGUUUAAAGGGUGCGUAGGCGGAUGAUUAAGCGGGAGGUGAAAUGCCGGCGCUCAACGUCGGAAGUGCCUCCCGAACUGGUGGACUUGAAUGACUCUGCCGUGGGAGGAAUGUGUAGUGUAGCGGUGAAAUGCUUAGAGAUUACACAGAACACCGAUUGCGAAGGCAUCUCACGAAGGGUUGAUUGACGCUGAGGCACGAAAGCGUGGGGAUCAAACAGGAUUAGAUACCCUGGUAGUCCACGCAGUAAACGAUGAUGGCUAACCGCUGGAUCCAUCGGUUCAGUGGCCAAGCGAAAGCGAUAAGCCAUCCACCUGGGGAGUACGACCGCAAGGUUGAAACUCAAAGGAAUUGACGGGG
RNAcentral lists this ribosomal RNA (393 nucleotides) under uncultured bacterium. Its description in RNAcentral is "partial 16S ribosomal RNA". It matches the Rfam family "Bacterial small subunit ribosomal RNA", at positions 523 to 918 of the family's 1533-position model. The record is from RNAcentral.